CACGGAGGCCUCAAGCGUUGUUCGGAAUUACUGGGCGUAAAGGGUGCGUAGGCGGCGAGGCAAGUCAGAUGUGAAAGCCCGGGGCUCAACCUCGGAAUAGCAUCCGAUACUGCCUUGCUUGAGGGUUGGAGAGGAGACUGGAAUUCACGGUGUAGCAGUGAAAUGCGUGGAUAUCGUGAGGAAGGCCAAUGGCGAAGGCAGGUCUCUGGACAACUCCUGACGCUGAGGCACGAAGGCCAGGGGAGCAAAAAGG
Molecule: ribosomal RNA, 253 nt
Filed under: uncultured bacterium
Lineage: Bacteria
Description: partial 16S ribosomal RNA
Rfam family: Bacterial small subunit ribosomal RNA
Source: RNAcentral